Molecule: ribosomal RNA, 490 nt
Filed under: uncultured bacterium
Lineage: Bacteria
Also listed under: 1 other name
Description: bacterial SSU rRNA
Rfam family: Bacterial small subunit ribosomal RNA
Source: RNAcentral
GAUGAACGCUAGCGAUAGGCCUAACACAUGCAAGUCGAGGGGCAGCACAAAGAGUAGCAAUACUUUUGGUGGCGACCGGCGGAUGGGUGAGUAACACGUAUGCAACUUACCUUCAACAGAGGGAUAACCCGUUGAAAGACGGACUAAUACCUCAUAAUACAGGGGCACCACAUGGUGAUAUUUGUUAAAGAUUAAUCGGUUGAAGAUGGGCAUGCGUAUGAUUAGCUAGUUGGUGAGGUAACGGCUCACCAAGGCAACGAUCAUUAGGGGUUCUGAGAGGAAGGUCCCCCACACUGGUACUGAGACACGGACCAGACUCCUACGGGAGGCAGCAGUGAGGAAUAUUGGUCAAUGGACGCAAGUCUGAACCAGCCAAGUCGCGUGAAGGAAGACUGCCCUAUGGGUUGUAAACUUCUUUUGUACAGGAAUAAAGUGCUUUACGUGUAGAGUUUUGUAUGUACUGUACGAAUAAGGAUCGGCUAACUCCGUG